This 486-nucleotide ribosomal RNA is filed under the name uncultured bacterium. Its description in RNAcentral is "partial 16S ribosomal RNA". It matches the Rfam family "Bacterial small subunit ribosomal RNA", at positions 30 to 507 of the family's 1533-position model. The record is from RNAcentral.
AUUGAACGCUGGCGGCAUGCCUUACACACGCAAGUCGAACGGCAGCACGGGUGCUUGCACCUGGUGGCGAGUGGCGAACGGGUGAGGAAUACAUCGGAACAUGUCCUGUAGUGGGGGAUAGCCCGGCGAAAGCCGGAUUAAUACCGCAUACGAUCUACGGAUGAAAGCGGGGGACCUUCGGGCCUCGCGCUAUAGGGUUGGCCGAUGGCUGAUUAGCUAGUUGGUGGGGUAAAGGCCUACCAAGGCGACGAUCAGUAGCUGGUCUGAGAGGACGACCAGCCACACUGGGACUGAGACACGGCCCAGACUCCUACGGGAGGCAGCAGUGGGGAAUUUUGGACAAUGGGCGAAAGCCUGAUCCAGCAAUGCCGCGUGUGUGAAGAAGGCCUUCGGGUUGUAAAGCACUUUUGUCCGGAAAGAAAUCCUUGGCCCUAAUACGGUCGGGGGAUGACGGUACCGGAAGAAUAAGCACCGGCUAACUACGUG